RNAcentral lists this long non-coding RNA (326 nucleotides) under Carica papaya (papaya). Its description in RNAcentral is "long non-coding RNA (CPAP_LNC004729)". Lineage: Eukaryota; Viridiplantae; Streptophyta; Magnoliopsida; Brassicales; Caricaceae. The record is from RNAcentral.
AUUAAAAAAGGUUAAAAAAGAAAAAGAAAAUAUAGCCUCAUUUCCUCUUUUUAGCCGGUGGCUGAGCAGGCUCUUCUUCGUCUUCCUCUUCUUCUUCUUCUUCCUCCUCUUCCUCAUCUUCUUCCCCAUCUUCAUCUUCAUCUUCAUCGUCAUCCUCCUCAUCCUCCUCCUCUCCACUAGCACCACCACCUCCAUUGGCCAGGUCAUCCUCAGGGUCAUCUUCACCAUCCUCGUCUUCUGACCCAUCUUCCUCGUCCCCUCCAUCUUCAUUGGGAUCAUCUGCAGCAUCUUCACCUUCGUCAUCUUCGUCAUCCUCGGUAUCACUG